UGUGAGCUCGAUGAGUAGGGCGGGACACGUGGUAUCCUGUCUGAAUAUGGGGGGACCAUCCUCCAAGGCUAAAUACUCCUGACUGACCGAUAGUGAACCAGUACCGUGAGGGAAAGGCGAAAAGAACCCCGGCGAGGGGAGUGAAAAAGAACCUGAAACCGUGUACGUACAAGCAGUGGGAGCACGCUUAGGCGUGUGACUGCGUACCUUUUGUAUAAUGGGUCAGCGACUUAUAUUCUGUAGCAAGGUUAACCGAAUAGGGGAGCCGAAGGGAAACCGAGUCUUAACUGGGCGUUAAGUUGCAGGGUAUAGACCCGAAACCCGGUGAUCUAGCCAUGGGCAGGUUGAAGGUUGGGUAACACUAACUGGAGGACCGAACCGACUAAUGUUGAAAAAUUAGCGGAUGACUUGUGGCUGGGGGUGAAAGGCCAAUCAAACCGGGAGAUAGCUGGUUCUCCCCGAAAGCUAUUUAGGUAGCGCCUCGUGAAUUCAUCUCCGGGGGUAGAGCACUGUUUCGGCAAGGGGGUCAUCCCGACUUACCAACCCGAUGCAAACUGCGAAUACCGGAGAAUGUUAUCACGGGAGACACACGGCGGGUGCUAACGUCCGUCGUGAAGAGGGAAACAACCCAGACCGCCAGCUAAGGUCCCAAAGUCAUGGUUAAGUGGGAAACGAUGUGGGAAGGCCCAGACAGCCAGGAUGUUGGCUUAGAAGCAGCCAUCAUUUAAAGAAAGCGUAAUAGCUCACUGGUCGAGUCGGCCUGCGCGGAAGAUGUAACGGGGCUAAACCAUGCACCGAAGCUGCGGCAGCGACGCUUAUGCGUUGUUGGGUAGGGGAGCGUUCUGUAAGCCUGCGAAGGUGUGCUGUGAGGCAUGCUGGAGGUAUCAGAAGUGCGAAUGCUGACAUAAGUAACGAUAAAGCGGGUGAAAAGCCCGCUCGCCGGAAGACCAAGGGUUCCUGUCCAACGUUAAUCGGGGCAGGGUGAGUCGACCCCUAAGGCGAGGCCGAAAGGCGUAGUCGAUGGGAAACAGGUUAAUAUUCCUGUACUUGGUGUUACUGCGAAGGGGGGACGGAGAAGGCUAUGUUGGCCGGGCGACGGUUGUCCCGGUUUAAGCGUGUAGGCUGGUUUUCCAGGCAAAUCCGGAAAAUCAAGGCUGAGGCGUGAUGACGAGGCACUACGGUGCUGAAGCAACAAAUGCCCUGCUUCCAGGAAAAGCCUCUAAGCAUCAGGUAACAUCAAAUCGUACCCCAAACCGACACAGGUGGUCAGGUAGAGAAUACCAAGGCGCUUGAGAGAACUCGGGUGAAGGAACUAGGCAAAAUGGUGCCGUAACUUCGGGAGAAGGCACGCUGAUAUGUAGGUGAAGUCCCUUGCGGAUGGAGCUGAAAUCAGUCGAAGAUACCAGCUGGCUGCAACUGUUUAUUAAAAACACAGCACUGUGCAAACACGAAAGUGGACGUAUACGGUGUGACGCCUGCCCGGUGCCGGAAGGUUAAUUGAUGGGGUCAGCGCAAGCGAAGCUCUUGAUCGAAGCCCCGGUAAACGGCGGCCGUAACUAUAACGGUCCUAAGGUAGCGAAAUUCCUUGUCGGGUAAGUUCCGACCUGCACGAAUGGCGUAAUGAUGGCCAGGCUGUCUCCACCCGAGACUCAGUGAAAUUGAACUCGCUGUGAAGAUGCAGUGUACCCGCGGCAAGACGGAAAGACCCCGUGAACCUUUACUAUAGCUUGACACUGAACAUUGAGCCUUGAUGUGUAGGAUAGGUGGGAGGCUUGGAAGUGUGGACGCCAGUCUGCAUGGAGCCGACCUUGAAAUACCACCCUUUAAUGUUUGAUGUUCUAACGUUGACCCGUAAUCCGGGUUGCGGACAGUGUCUGGUGGGUAGUUUGACUGGGGCGGUCUCCUCCUAAAGAGUAACGGAGGAGCACGAAGGUUGGCUAAUCCUGGUCGGACAUCAGGAGGUUAGUGCAAUGGCAUAAGCCAGCUUGACUGCGAGCGUGACGGCGCGAGCAGGUGCGAAAGCAGGUCAUAGUGAUCCGGUGGUUCUGAAUGGAAGGGCCAUCGCUCAACGGAUAAAAGGUACUCCGGGGAUAACAGGCUGAUACCGCCCAAGAGUUCAUAUCGACGGCGGUGUUUGGCACCUCGAUGUCGGCUCAUCACAUCCUGGGGCUGAAGUAGGUCCCAAGGGUAUGGCUGUUCGCCAUUUAAAGUGGUACGCGAGCUGGGUUUAGAACGUCGUGAGACAGUUCGGUCCCUAUCUGCCGUGGGCGCUGGAGAACUGAGGGGGGCUGCUCCUAGUACGAGAGGACCGGAGUGGACGCAUCACUGGUGUUCGGGUUGUCAUGCCAAUGGCACUGCCCGGUAGCUAAAUGCGGAAGAGAUAAGUGCUGAAAGCAUCUAAGCACGAAACUUGCCCCGAGAUGAGUUCUCCCUGAC
This 2436-nucleotide ribosomal RNA is filed under the name Escherichia coli. Its description in RNAcentral is "partial 23S ribosomal RNA". It matches the Rfam family "Bacterial large subunit ribosomal RNA", at positions 398 to 2819 of the family's 2925-position model. Lineage: Bacteria; Pseudomonadati; Pseudomonadota; Gammaproteobacteria; Enterobacterales; Enterobacteriaceae. The record is from RNAcentral.